GACGUAGGGCGCGAGCGUUGUCCGGAUUUAUUGGGCGUAAAGAGCUCGUAGGCGGCUUGUCGCGUCGACUGUGAAAUCCCGCGGCUCAACCGCGGGUCUGCAGUCGAUACGGGCAGGCUAGAGUUCGGUAGGGGAGACUGGAAUUCCUGGUGUAGCGGUGAAAUGCGCAGAUAUCAGGAGGAACACCGAUGGCGAAGGCAGGUCCCUGGGCCGAUACUGACGCUGAGGAGCGAAAGCGUGGGGAGCGAACAGG
This 253-nucleotide ribosomal RNA is filed under the name uncultured bacterium. Its description in RNAcentral is "partial 16S ribosomal RNA". It matches the Rfam family "Bacterial small subunit ribosomal RNA", at positions 524 to 776 of the family's 1533-position model. The record is from RNAcentral.